UACGGAGGGUGCAAGCGUUAUCCGGAUUCACUGGGUUUAAAGGGUGCGUAGGUGUGUUGGUAAGUCAGUGGUGAAAUCCCCGAGCUUAACUUGGGAACUGCCAUUGAUACUAUCAGUCUUGAAUACUGUGGAGGUCAGCGGAAUAUGUCAUGUAGCGGUGAAAUGCUUAGAUAUGACAUAGAACACCAAUUGCGAAGGCAGCUGGCUACACAAAUAUUGACACUCAGGCACGAAAGCGUGGGGAUCAAACAGG
RNAcentral lists this ribosomal RNA (253 nucleotides) under uncultured bacterium. Its description in RNAcentral is "partial 16S ribosomal RNA". It matches the Rfam family "Bacterial small subunit ribosomal RNA", at positions 524 to 776 of the family's 1533-position model. The record is from RNAcentral.